Molecule: long non-coding RNA, 363 nt
Filed under: Bos taurus (domestic cattle)
Lineage: Eukaryota; Metazoa; Chordata; Mammalia; Artiodactyla; Bovidae
Description: long non-coding RNA NONBTAT017018
Source: RNAcentral
GCAUCUGUCCCUAGAUUUUGAAUUAUUUUCCUAACUAGUUCAUUCUAUAUAUAAAUCUACAAAUCAAACUUUCUUUAAAAAAUACUCAAAAAGUCUUUAAAAAAUUCUUUUUACACUUUUGAUAACUUCCAUUUCUCCUUGUACUUAUCCUCAUACACACAUAUUAGGUUCUACCAGCUUACCUAGGAGUCAGGAAGGUACAAGUCUUCUGGCUGCUCCAUCAGAUGUUGACAUGUUAGACCAAAGAAUUUCCCUAGCCUCAACAUGCACUGCUAAUUCUUAACCCCAAAUUAUUUUAGGUCAGAUUUAUUUACCUGACAUUAAUAACAGAGGUCAUUCAUAGGUGGUUCUAAGUAUUAAAUC